GGCAGCAGUGGGGAAUUUUGGACAAUGGGCGCAAGCCUGAUCCAGCCAUGCCGCGUGUGNGAAGAAGGCCUUCGGGUUGUAAANNACUUUUGUCAGGGANGAAAUCCCUCNUGUUAAUACCGNNGGNUNAUGACNGUACCUGAAGAAUAAGCACCGGCUAACUACGUGCCAGCAGCCGCGGUAAUACGUAGGGUGCNAGCGUUAAUCGGAAUUACUGGGCGUAAAGCGUGCGCAGGCGGUUUUAUAAGCCAGAUGUGAAAUCCCCGNGCUCAACNUGGGAACUGCCUUUGUAACUGUCUGACUAGAGUGCGUCAGAGGGGGAUGGAAUUCCGCGUGUAGCAGUGAAAUGCGUAGAUAUGCGGAGGAACACCGAUGGCGAAGGCAAUCCCCUGGGCCUACACUGACGCUCAUGCACGAAAGCGUGGGGAGCAAACAGGAUUAGAUACCCCUGGUAGUCCACGCCCUAAACGAUGUCAANUGGNUGUUGGGAGNNNUNCUNCUNGGUAACGUAGCUAACGCGUGAAAUUGACCGCCUGGGGAGUACGGCCGCAAGGUUNAAACUCAAAG
Molecule: ribosomal RNA, 567 nt
Filed under: uncultured bacterium
Lineage: Bacteria
Description: partial 16S ribosomal RNA
Rfam family: Bacterial small subunit ribosomal RNA
Source: RNAcentral